GAUGAACGCUGGCGGCGUGCCUAAUACAUGCAAGUCGAGCGAACGGACGAGAAGCUUGCUUCUCUGAUGUUAGCGGCGGACGGGUGAGUAACACGUGGAUAACCUACCUAUAAGACUGGGAUAACUUCGGGAAACCGGAGCUAAUACCGGAUGAUAUUUUGAACCGCAUGGUUCAAAAGUGAAAGACGGUUUUGCUGUCACUUAUAGAUGGAUCCGCGCUGCAUUAGCUAGUUGGUAAGGUAACGGCUUACCAAGGCAACGAUGCAUAGCCGACCUGAGAGGGUGAUCGGCCACACUGGAACUGAGACACGGUCCAGACUCCUACGGGAGGCAGCAGUAGGGAAUCUUCCGCAAUGGGCGAAAGCCUGACGGAGCGACGCCGCGUGAGUGAUGAAGGUCUUCGGAUCGUAAAACUCUGUUAUUAGGGAAGAACAUAUGUGUAAGUAACUGUGCACAUCUUGACGGUACCUAAUCAGAAAGCCACGGCUAACUACGUG
Molecule: ribosomal RNA, 497 nt
Filed under: uncultured bacterium
Lineage: Bacteria
Description: partial 16S ribosomal RNA
Rfam family: Bacterial small subunit ribosomal RNA
Source: RNAcentral